This 1197-nucleotide long non-coding RNA is filed under the name Equus caballus (horse). Its description in RNAcentral is "lncRNA (ENSECAG00000048268.1)". The record is from RNAcentral. Lineage: Eukaryota; Metazoa; Chordata; Mammalia; Perissodactyla; Equidae.
AAGGUAUUGCUGCUGGCUGAAGUUUGCCCUCAGCAUAAUAUUGUAAAGCAGCCAAGUUACCCUGAUCAUCUCCUGGGCUAACAUUCAUAGCUUAUCAGGGUCUCAUUAGGCCUUUUAUCUGAAUAAGCUUAAAAUUCUCAACAAACUUGUCCUAUAGAUAUGCUGUUUCAGGGUAAAAUAAAGUCCAUUGAAAUGAGUUUGUCACCGUAAUUGUAUUAGCACCUUUUAAGUGGCCACAUGUAUUUGGAAUGAUUCCAUAAGGAGAAGAAAUAGAUUGACAGAAUUAUGCAUGGGAUUUGCUCGGCUCUAGUUCAAAGCAAUGGAAGAGAUUUCAGAGGGAAACAUAUACUUGUCAAUUGUAAAGAAAUAGGACUAAAUUUUCUUCAACAGGAGAGAAAAUAUCCAAAUAAACCAUAGGUUGUAGAUCCAUGAGGAAAAGGCACAAAAAUAUUCUCUGUUUGAAAAUCGUACAUCUUUCUCACAUAAAAAGAAAUUACCAGCAUUACAGGCAAACUGUGUUGGAGAGUAAAAUCACUUAAGAUUUACUAGUUAUUCUCCCUUAUUCUUAAAAAUUAUCAUCUUCCAGGGAUAAUUUGCUUAAGCAUUUCUCUAUUUUUUCCCCUAGAAUGACGGCAUCUGCGAGGGUAGAGGGGCUGGGAAGUGGGGAAGUAAUUGAUUAGAGUCCAAAGGAGUCUGUAAUUUACUCCUAUGGUUUGAUGGAAACCAGGCCAUAUGCAUGUGGUGGAUUAUUUUUCUUGACUUUCUUUCAAAAUUUUGUGCUGAAAAGACGAUUAUUAUAUUUUUUUCUUCCCUGGGCACGAGGUGCAGGAAUGGGGAGAAUGGACAUGGAAAUCAUGAAACUUAAUCAUGAGUCUUCUAGGCAAAAACCAACUAAGUCUCUUAACUGUGAAUUAAAGAUCAAAGCCAGGAACACCUUUAAAUAGCACAGGUUGAGGGAGCUGGGUGACUGGGUGGUCUCCAGUGUCGCUGAGGGGGAAGCAAAAGAAAAUGGAUCUCAACCGUAGGGGAAGGGAAUCGGGUUAUCCACGAGGAAAGCUCCCACUCUACAGAAACAUCUCCUUCCAGAAAAGUUUGAAGAAUUAAUUUUCUAUUUGGAGGGAGGGUAGUAAAUGUAGUUGCCUAGAGAUGAAUGCAUGCAUCAUCUUUCUGUUCCACAGUUUUUCACAAUGAGCAGCC